GUGCUUGCUUUGACAGCACAUACGCAAAAAAAUGGAACAAUGCAGAGAAAAUUGGCUUGACUCCUACAAAAGGUUGACACAUAUCUGUGAAGCAUUCUAUAUGCUU
This is a small nuclear RNA of Callithrix jacchus (white-tufted-ear marmoset), 106 nucleotides long. Lineage: Eukaryota; Metazoa; Chordata; Mammalia; Primates; Cebidae. The record is from Ensembl.